GCGCGGCUAGCUCAGUGGCAGAGCAGCUCUCUUACAAGGAGUCGGUCCGAGGUUCGAGUCCUCGGUCGCGCACCC
Molecule: transfer RNA, 75 nt
Filed under: Pseudonocardiales bacterium
Lineage: Bacteria; Bacillati; Actinomycetota; Actinomycetes; Pseudonocardiales
Description: tRNA-Val
Rfam family: tRNA
About the family: Transfer RNA (tRNA) molecules are approximately 80 nucleotides in length. Their secondary structure includes four short double-helical elements and three loops (D, anti-codon, and T loops).
Source: RNAcentral